Molecule: ribosomal RNA, 334 nt
Filed under: uncultured bacterium
Lineage: Bacteria
Description: bacterial SSU rRNA
Rfam family: Bacterial small subunit ribosomal RNA
Source: RNAcentral
CGUGUAGGCGGUUGGGUAAGUCAGAUGUGAAAGCCUUCUGCUUAACAGAAGAAGUGCAUUUGAAACUGCUCGGCUAGAGUACGGGAGAGGAGAGUGGAAUUCCCGGUGUAGAGGUGAAAUUCGUAGAUGUCGGGAGGAACACCAGUGGCGAAGGCGGCUCUCUGGUCCGAUACUGACGCUGAGACGCGAAAGCGUGGGGAGCAAACAGGAUUAGAUACCCUGGUAGUCCACGCCGUAAACGAUGGGCACUAGGUGUAGGAGGUAUUGACCCCUUCUGUGCCGAAGCUAACGCACUUAAGUGGCCCCGCCUGGGGAGUACGGCCGCAAGGCUAAA